CCUACGGGGGGCAGCAGUCGAGGAUCUUCGGCAAUGGACGAAAGUCUGACCGAGCAACGCCGCGUGUGCGAUGAAGGCCUUCGGGUUGUAAAGCACUGUCGAGGGGAAACAAGCCGUAAGGUUGAGUGACCCCUGGAGGAAGCACGGGCUAAGUUCGUGCCAGCAGCCGCGGUAAGACGAACCGUGCAAACGUUAUUCGGAAUCACUGGGCUUAAAGGGCGCGUAGGCGGGUAAUCAAGUCAAUGGUGAAAUCCUCCAGCUUAACUGGAGAAGUGCCUUUGAUACUGGUUGUCUAGAGGGAGGUAGGGGCAUGUGGAACUUCAGGUGGAGCGGUGAAAUGCGUAGAUAUCUGAAGGAACGCCAGUGGCGAAAGCGAUGUGCUGGACCUCUUCUGACGCUGAGGCGCGAAAGCUAGGGGAUCAAACGGGAUUAGAUACCCCGGUAGUCCUAGCCCUAAACUAUGGUACUAGAUUGUGGACUUUCAUGGGUUCACAGUCGAAGCAAAAGUGUUAAGUACCCGCCUGGGGAGUAUGGUCGCAAGGCUGAAACUCAAAGGAAUUGACGG
This 565-nucleotide ribosomal RNA is filed under the name uncultured bacterium. RNAcentral describes it as "bacterial SSU rRNA". It matches the Rfam family "Bacterial small subunit ribosomal RNA", at positions 338 to 916 of the family's 1533-position model. The record is from RNAcentral.